Molecule: ribosomal RNA, 695 nt
Filed under: bacterium enrichment culture clone E4
Lineage: Bacteria
Description: bacterial SSU rRNA
Rfam family: Bacterial small subunit ribosomal RNA
Source: RNAcentral
CGGCGAGUGGCGGACGGGUGAGGAAUGCCUCGGAAUCUGCUUUAUCGAGGGGGAUAACUAAUGGAAACUUACGCUAAUACCGCAUACCACCUACGGAUGAAAGAAGGGGACCUUCGGGCCUUGUGCGAUUGAAUGUGCCGAUGUCGGAUUAGCUAGUUGGGGGGGUACGGCUCACCUAGGCGACGAUCCCUAGCUGGUCUGAGAGGAUGAUCAGCCACACUGGAACUGAGACACGGUCCAGACUCCUACGGGAGGCAGCAGUGGGGAAUAUUGGACAAUGGGCGCAAGCCUGAUCCAGCCAUACCGCGUGUAUGAAGAAGGCCUUCGGGUUGUAAAGCCCUUUUGUUGGGAAAGAAAUCCUUCUGGUUAAUACCCGGUUGGGAUGACGUUACCCGCAGAAUAAGCACCGGCUAACUUCGUGCCAGCAGCCGCGGUAAUACGAAGGGUGCAAGCGUUACUCGGAAUUACUGGGCGUAAAGCGUGCGUAGGUGGUCUGUUAAGUCCGAUGUGAAAUCCCUGGGCUCAACCUGGGAACUGCAGUGGAUACUGGGCGACUAGAGUGUGUAGAGGGUAGCGGAUUUCCUGUGGUAGCGGUGAAAUGCGUAGAGAUCAGGAGGAUAUCCAUGGCGAAGGCAGCUACCUGGACCAGACUGACACUGAGGUGACGAAAGCGUGGGGAGCAAACAGAUUAGAUA